Molecule: long non-coding RNA, 3639 nt
Organism: Clupea harengus (Atlantic herring)
Lineage: Eukaryota; Metazoa; Chordata; Actinopteri; Clupeiformes; Clupeidae
Source: RefSeq, a predicted model, not a curated record
CACACACUCUCUCUCUCUCUCUCUCCAUCUCUCUCUUUCUCUCUUUCUCUUUCUUUUUCCCUUCUCGGGUUUCUUGCCGCUCACACAUCGCCGUGAGUUCAUUCACCGUGUCAAGCAAGCAACAACUGGCUCCGGGAGCGACAGCGCUGGAGGUAGAGGGAAAAAGAGAGAGAGGGAGAGAAAGAAAGAGAGAGAGAGAGCGUCGGGAGGGUUUUCUUCCUUCUGUUGAGCAUCUCCAGUGAGAGAGAGGAAGGAUGCUGCUGGUGCUGAUGCUGCUGCUCUGGCUCCAGCCGUGCGGUUGAGCCCCGGUCCUCCACCUCCUCCACCUCCUCCUGCACCGCCUCCCCUGCUGCCUGGCUGGGACCGCCUGCCUCCUCUGCUUCUGCCUCUCCCUCUACCGACGCACAACCCACGGCAACGAUGACAACGCUCGGCGGACUGGCACACUAACCCACAGAUGCGCUGCCUGCGGAAAAAAAAAAAAAAAGGAGGGAGCGCAGCGGAGGGACGAGCGAAAGGCAGCGUGCAGAUGAAGACAGCAAGAGAGAGAGGGAGAGAGGGAGUGAGAGAGAGAGAGAGGAGGGAGAGGGGGAAAGAGAGAGAGAGAGAGAGAGAAGGGAGAGAAGAGAAGAGAGGGAGGCAUAUCACAGUCAGGCAUCAGACGACACCCAGGGCUUUGAGCGCGGCGGGAAGCAGCCAGUGGAAGCAGCAGCAGCAGCAGCGCAGAGGGAGCUCAUUACUCCGGGAUAACACCUGCCUGAGAAGGGAAUCCCAUUACGGAUGGAGGCUACUGGAAGCAGGCCUUCACAGCCACAGUGGCCCAGAAAAGCCACUGAUGGGGCCUUGCCUUGCAACGCUGUAAAGCGUCUUCAAUCAAUUGAUUUGAAAAGCCCCUCGCUGUUGCCAGGCGGCUGAGGAGCGAUUGUUGGUUACGGUCGCGUUCAUGUUGCUAUCUCCCCUUCCCCACGACAAACAAAAAACAAACAAACAAAAUGAAACGAAACAAAAAAAGGCAAAAUAAAAAACACGAAAAAAAGUGCAAAAGGCUCUCUUCGGUGACGGGUAUUCUUGGGUGGAUAAUACGGAUCACGUUGUUAUUGCUUAAGAAUACGCGUAGUCGAGGAGAGUCAUGUCUACGGCGACUUCACAAGGGACUUGAGUGAGCUGGAGCCUCAAAGCUGCCAUCUGCCUAUGUGAGCUUUUUAAUGCUGUGGGCAGUCGCACUGAGUCGGUCAGACUGACACCCUCGUCCUCAUUUCUUUUAUAUUCAUUUAUUUAAUUAUCUCUCCAGUUUAUCUAUUUUUGUAAACCUACCAGGCCACCACACAGAGCCUUAUGUGCCAUGUUUGUAUGUAAAUCCUGUGUUGUGUAUAGUUGUAAUUCUAUGGCUGUUGAUAGUGAUAGCACAGCUGGUGAUAGCGUUUAGCAUGUUUAGCAAAUGGGAUUAGUAAUUAGGAUGUAGUAGCUUAACAUUUUUGUAAUUCCAUGCCUUUCCUGUUGCUUCGAUUGUGUUCUACUGUCAUUUUCUAUUCUUUUUAGAGCUAGCUUGUUCAUAUUUUGUCUAAAGGAUAUGUAUAUGUAUUCAUAUUGAUUUUGCUAUGUAUAGUGUUCUUUUUUUUCUUUUCUUAGUCCGUACAUCUAUUUGUACCUGUGAAUUCACGCAUGUGCUUUAUAUCACUGAGUGAACUGUGCCUUGACUUAGUAGUGGCAGAGGACGGACAGCUGUUUGACAGUGUCAGGGUGGCCUUGCUUGGGGGUGGGUAGGUAGGGUAUGAGGGGUGAGGCGGGGGUGCAGGGCCACAGGCUGGUGGAUGCAAAUAGGAGGUAGUCUCCAGUGUUUACCAUCCGGUGCGCGAGUUGACACCACUGACUCCUUUCAUCCUCCUUGCCACACUCCUCCUCUUUUUAUGUAAAUGGUCAUGGAAAAUGGCAUUUAUCAUGCGGGGUUUCAGCACACGGGCCCGCCCCAUCCACCAAGCCACCACCAGGGCCAAGAAAACAAAAUGUCCACCACGCCGGUGACAGCUCAAUUUAUGCGCUGAGAGAGAGAGAGUGCUUUUGAAAGAGCUUGCGUGCGCACACACACACACACACACACAUACGCACACACAUACGCACACACAUACACACACGCACACACACACGCACAAACACACACACUCACAUACACACAUGCUCACACCGGAUAAACAAUUACCACCAGCUAAAAUUGACUAUAACUGGGUUUUCCAUGUAUCCGCAUGCAUGUUAUGAAUAUGUAUCACAUGCCAUGUGUGAUGGCGUAUUCUAAACUCUAACACCCAUGGAAAUCCAAUUGCCCACCUAAUAGGAUCUACUUGACUUAUGAAAGCAUAUCUUCAGACAUGUCAAAUCUUAUACAUAUACAUGAGCACAAGGGGUUUCUCUUCCAUUUUUUUCUUCUUUUUGCUCCUUGUCCCAGGAAAUGACUUGCCUCAUAUUUAUGUAUUUUCCUCUCAGUGUUGAAGCAUUAAGCCAGACUUUUUUUGAAAUCAUUAUUAUUAUUAUUAUUUUGUUUGUCUCAAGACUUGGAUGGAAAAAAGGUCCAUGCAUUAAUGAGGAGGUUGGAAGAAAGGGGGGCGAGUGAGUGAGAGAGAGAGAGAGAGAGAGAGAGGGAGAGUGAGAGAGAGGAAGGGUGCUAAAUCUCCAGACAAUCUAAUUUACUCUUAAUCAUCUUUAAACGUAUUCAAACGAGCUGCCUCCAUUUCAGGGCGAUUCUGCGCUCCCUCGUUUGAUGGGCUUGUAAUUAUGGAGCGGUUGUGUGCUGUGCUGGGCCUUGCUGAAAAGGAGCUGGAGGGUAAAAAGGGAGGGGGAAGAGGGGGUUGGGGGUCGGGUGACAGAGGUGCUGGCCUCACCACUAGGGGACUCAUACAAUUGGAAAGAAUGGCCCGCACAAUAUGUCUCUUUGGCUGCAGCACACUUAUUAGCAUAGUUGUUAUUUAUUUACCUCAUGCAAAAAAAAAAAGAGAAAAAAAUUGAGGCUAUUUUAUUUUAAGAAUGAAUUUAAAUGUAUCUUUAAAUCAAGAUCGAGAUUGCUCACUAUUGCCUUACUGACAUGAAUACCUCAUAUAAUGCAUUUGCCAAACAUGAGUGGAUUGUAAAUGUUUCUGACUGCAUAGAUGUUUAAACACACCUAUACAAAAUGAAAAAAAGAGAUUUGUAUCAAUGAUUGUUCAAAUGAAAAAAAAAUUAAAAAACAAAGACAAACGUUUCCACACUAAACAAUUAAGCGAGUGAAUAGGAUAAUACUCUAGACCUGAAAUUAUUUUAAAGUACACUAUAUGAAAACUGAUUAAUUUCAUUGAUUUGAAGAUUAUUUAGAUAGCUUCUAUUUUUUGGGUGUUUUGAUUCACAAUGAUUUUUUACAACAUAUAUAUUUUAAAAUCAUUUAGAUUGACAUUUCUUUGAUGUUCCUUUUAGAUGUCAGAAAUUAUUAUGACAAUCAUUAUCUUAUGACUAAUUUGUAGUUAUUUCAACACACAUGAAAUGAAAAGCUUGCUGAUUAUGUUUUAUUUCAUAACUUAUAACAUUUAAGAGGGUUUUGAUUCAUGUUCUGUUUUGUAAAUUUUACUUGAUGUUAAUUAAUUUUGUUUGGAAAAAUAAAGUCCCAUCUUUUUGAAA